This 371-nucleotide ribosomal RNA is filed under the name uncultured prokaryote. RNAcentral's name for it is "bacterial SSU rRNA". It matches the Rfam family "Bacterial small subunit ribosomal RNA", at positions 524 to 896 of the family's 1533-position model. The record is from RNAcentral.
UACGAAGGGUGCUAGCGUUGUUCGGAAUUACUGGGCGUAAAGGGUGCGUAGGCGGUAAGAUGCGUCUGAUGUGAAAUCCCUGGGCUUAACCUAGGAACUGCAUUGGAUACGGUCUUACUAGAGUCCGCGAGAGGAAGAUGGAAUUGUGCGUGUAGAGGUGAAAUUCGUAGAUAUGCACAAGAACACCGGUGGCGAAGGCGAUCUUCUGGAGCAGUACUGACGCUAAGGCACGAAAGCGUGGGGAGCAAACAGGAUUAGAUACCCUGGUAGUCCACGCUGUAAACGAUGAUUAUUAGAUGUCGGGGGGUUACCCUUCGGUAUCGCAGCUAACGCAUUAAAUAAUCCGCCUGGGGAGUACGGUCGCAAGAUUA